GAUGAAGAACGCAGCGAAAUGCGAUAAGUAAUGUGAAUUGCAGAAUUCAGUGAAUCAUCGAAUCUUUGAACGCACCUUGCGCCCUUUGGCCAUUCCGAAGGGCAUGCCUGUUUGAGUAUCAUGAACACCUCAACUCUUCAUGGUUUUCCAUGAUGAGCUUGGACUUUGGGGGUCUUGCUGGCCUGUGGGUCGGCUCCUCUCAAAUGAAUCAGCUUGCCGGUUUUUGGUGGGCAUCACAGGUGUGAUAACUAUCGACGCUUGUGGUUUUCCACCAGGGUAACCUUCAGCAGUGGAGGUUCACUGGAGCUUACAAAUGUCUCUCCUCUGUGAGGACAGCCCUUUGAAUGUUUGAUCUCAGAUCAGGUAGGACUACCCGCUGAACUUAAGCAUAUCAAUAAGCGGAGGA
RNAcentral lists this unclassified non-coding RNA (406 nucleotides) under soil metagenome. RNAcentral describes it as "partial contains 5.8S ribosomal RNA, internal transcribed spacer 2, and large subunit ribosomal RNA". The stretch from base 1 to 121 matches the Rfam family "5.8S ribosomal RNA", at positions 35 to 154 of the family's 154-position model. The record is from RNAcentral.